Parelaphostrongylus tenuis is the source of this 73-nucleotide non-coding RNA. NCBI's taxonomy places the organism in Eukaryota, Metazoa, Nematoda, Chromadorea, Rhabditida, Metastrongylidae. The record is from the annotation of a GenBank genome assembly.
GCCUCUGUGGUGUAGUGGUAGAGCACGCGCCCGCGGCGUGGAUGAAAAGCGGGUUCGAUUCCCGCCUGAGGCC